This 562-nucleotide unclassified non-coding RNA is filed under the name Hevea brasiliensis (rubber tree). Lineage: Eukaryota; Viridiplantae; Streptophyta; Magnoliopsida; Malpighiales; Euphorbiaceae. The record is from RNAcentral.
AAAAACUAAAACAAACACCACAAAUUUUACUCCGAGAGACUGUUGUACAAGGGAGAACUGAAAGCAUCCCUCACAUCUGGCUGGGAAAGGUACCAGUAUUUCUCCAGCACCUGAACCAGCAUUCCUCCCACAUCUUCAGCAUUCUCCACAGCAGUCAGGACACGCUGAGCGGAAGUAAUAUCUUUGGGCAUUGGACCAGAAGAGGCAGGUAGCAGUCCACAAAAGGAUAAAUGGAUUGACAAUUCCCUUGUCUCACCCCGUACUGUCAUUUCCUUACACUUCAAUUGAGUUGCACGCUCUGCUGCAUCUUCUUCUUCAAAAAACACAUUGACAGCGUGACACCUAUCAAACUUGUCCGCCCUGAAAAUUUUUACAAAUUUUACGACCCCACAUGGAGAAAAGAACUCCUUGAUUUCUCGUACAGAGACACCUCGUGGAACAUUCUUUACCCUCACCAUUUUCGACUUAACAUGUAUAAACUUCACUGGUGGUACCCAAUCAACAAAAUGGUCAUAAUAGAAGGUUGCACUUAAUUUUUGAAUCUCUCUAAGUUCCACUUCAG